Long non-coding RNA from Hyla sarda, 333 nucleotides. RefSeq lists it as uncharacterized. The transcript is spliced from 4 exons. The record is from RefSeq and is a predicted model, not a curated record. Lineage: Eukaryota; Metazoa; Chordata; Amphibia; Anura; Hylidae.
AGGGAGCCGGAGUGUGGAGGGAACUUGUGACUGGACGAGCUGUGACUGAGAAUAAAGAACUACAAGUGAUAGUAUCAAGACUGGAUGAGCCACGGACAGACAUUCAACAGAAGAGCACACAACAGCAGGCCACGUGUAGUUGAUACAAGAGGAGAGCGUCAGGCGGCAUGUUGGGUAUAUCAGAAAUGCAUUACGCAGUGGAUCCGAUGACCCAGCAGUACUACCGUGGGCAAGUUUUGUGUUCCAGAAAGAUAACAUUCUUCAGAUGACUCGGGAAUCAAAGCAGCCUUCUUACAAGAGUUGAACUCCAUUACAGCGAUGCCUCACUGUGUG